GGUUGUAUGGUGUAAUGGUUAGCACUCUGGACUCUGAAUCCAGUAAUCCAAGUUCAAAUCUCGGAAGGACCU
This 72-nucleotide transfer RNA is filed under the name Danionella translucida. It matches the Rfam family "tRNA". Rfam says of the family: Transfer RNA (tRNA) molecules are approximately 80 nucleotides in length. Lineage: Eukaryota; Metazoa; Chordata; Actinopteri; Cypriniformes; Danionidae. The record is from Rfam by way of RNAcentral. RNAcentral also lists the same sequence under 1 other name.